Small nuclear RNA from Dromiciops gliroides (monito del monte), 105 nucleotides. NCBI's taxonomy places the organism in Eukaryota, Metazoa, Chordata, Mammalia, Microbiotheria, Microbiotheriidae. The record is from RefSeq and is a predicted model, not a curated record.
GUGCUUGUUCUGGCAGCACAUAUACUAAAAUUUGAAUGAUACAGAGAAGAUUAGCAUGGUCCCUGUACAAGGAUGACAUGCAAAAAUCAGGCUUCACACACUUAU